CCCUCUCCUCUCCUCCGGAUACUUCACCUUCCGAGCUCUUUUCUUUACCUGUCCUCUCCUCCGCCUCCGGCCUCUCCUCCCCUUUGCCGGCUACUUCUGCCUCCCCGUCGACGGCGACUGCGGCGGUUAUCGUCAUCGAGCCCCCCAAUUGGCCGAUCCCAGUCUCACCCGGGACGAGAUCAUCGACGGCUACAUCAAGACCCUCGCUCAGGUCCUCGGAAGGUACUUGAUAAGUAUCGUAGUGCACUUAAAUUGAAUAUUGCCGAGGCCUUGAUUUGUACUCAAGAUUGGGUGUUGGAAAAGAAAGAUGUUGAGAAUGCCGAGUUAGAUGAGAUUGUAGAAGAUGUCAUAAACUCAAGUUUCUACAAUGAAACUCAAUCAACUCAAUGCUCGGCCAAUGUUGAAUCCAAUUCAUAGUGAGAUGAAUUAUGAUCAUGGGAUACUCCCUUUUGGUUUUGGUUUAAAUAUGGAUGUUGUUAUAGUUUGGGACUUUUUUUUAGUUUUGCUUUGACUAUGGAUGUUGUCAUUGGUUAUUGUAAUUUCGGUUAAUAAUUUCAGAUUCUCAAGUAUGCCCUCAUCUAAUGUCACUCUUAACUUUUGCUCAUGUUUUUAUAUUUCUGUAAGUAACUAUGAACUAAAUUGUAAUGCUUUCUUUUCAACUUCAGAUGGGAUAUACUUUGCUAAAGGAAACAGAUUAAAGAAAACAAAAAGGGGCAAUGCUCUCUCUC
Non-coding RNA from Phoenix dactylifera (date palm), 728 nucleotides. The record is from RefSeq and is a predicted model, not a curated record. Lineage: Eukaryota; Viridiplantae; Streptophyta; Magnoliopsida; Arecales; Arecaceae.